RNAcentral lists this ribosomal RNA (662 nucleotides) under Hypericum boreale. Its description in RNAcentral is "eukaryotic LSU rRNA". The stretch from base 276 to 431 matches the Rfam family "5.8S ribosomal RNA". Lineage: Eukaryota; Viridiplantae; Streptophyta; Magnoliopsida; Malpighiales; Hypericaceae. The record is from RNAcentral.
GUGAACCUGCGGAAGGAUCAUUGUCGAAACCUCCAAAAGACCCGUGAACUAGUUAUCAACAUGUGGGGAGUGUUGGGAGUUAUCCCUUAGCUCCUUCGUGCCAGUGGUGGGUAAUUGUGUCGUUAUACCGGCAUGAUUGACCAACAUCUGGACAAACUAACCAACCCCGGCGCGGCAUGCGCCAAGGAACUUCGCAAUAAAUGUGGAAACGCUACCGGUCGUUCCGAAAAUCGGAUAAAGCGGCCGUGUUGUGGACCACUUUUUCAUUACAAAACGACUCUCGGCAACGGAUAUCUAGGCUCUUGCAUCGAUGAAGAACGUAGCGAAAUGCGAUACUUGGUGUGAAUUGCAGAAUCCCGUGAACCAUCGAGUCUUUGAACGCAAGUUGCGCCUGAAGCCUCUUGGCCAAGGGCACGUCUGCCUGGGUGUCACACAUCGUCCCCACCGAAACAAAUACUCCUUGUAGGUGUUUGGUAAGAGGAUGGGCGGAUAAUGGUCUCCCGUGCGUGGUUGCUCGCGGUUGGCCUAAAAAUAAGUUCCUGGUGAUAGCAAGCCAUGACCAGCGGUGGUUGAAAGACCCUCGAUGGGUGUCGUGAGAACUUGCAUCGCAUGUUGGGAGAUUCUGACCUUGAUCGUGUUUAAGCAUAUCAAACACUCAUGAA